RNAcentral lists this ribosomal RNA (1437 nucleotides) under uncultured organism. Its description in RNAcentral is "SSU rRNA". It matches the Rfam family "Bacterial small subunit ribosomal RNA". The record is from RNAcentral.
CUUAACACAUGCAAGUCGAGGGGCAGCAUGGUCUUAGCUUGCUAAGGCCGAUGGCGACCGGCGCACGAGUGAGUAACACGUAUCCAACCUGCCGUCUACUCUUGGACAGCCUUCUGAAAGGAAGAUUAAUACAAGAUGGCAUCAUGAGUCCGCAUGUUCACAUGAUUAAAGGUAUUCCGGUAGACGAUGGGGAUGCGUUCCAUUAGAUAGUAGGCGGGGUAACGGCCCACCUAGUCUUCGAUGGAUAGGGGUUCUGAGAGGAAGGUCCCCCACAUUGGAACUGAGACACGGUCCAAACUCCUACGGGAGGCAGCAGUGAGGAAUAUUGGUCAAUGGGCGAGAGCCUGAACCAGCCAAGUAGCGUGAAGGAUGACUGCCCUAUGGGUUGUAAACUUCUUUUAUAAAGGAAUAAAGUCGGGUAUGCAUACCCGUUUGCAUGUACUUUAUGAAUAAGGAUCGGCUAACUCCGUGCCAGCAGCCGCGGUAAUACGGAGGAUCCGAGCGUUAUCCGGAUUUAUUGGGUUUAAAGGGAGCGUAGAUGGAUGUUUAAGUCAGUUGUGAAAGUUUGCGGCUCAACCGUAAAAUUGCAGUUGAUACUGGAUAUCUUGAGUGCAGUUGAGGCAGGCGGAAUUCGUGGUGUAGCGGUGAAAUGCUUAGAUAUCACGAAGAACUCCGAUUGCGAAGGCAGCCUGCUAAGCUGCAACUGACAUUGAGGCUCGAAAGUGUGGGUAUCAAACAGGAUUAGAUACCCUGGUAGUCCACACGGUAAACGAUGAAUACUCGCUGUUUGCGAUAUACAGCAAGCGGCCAAGCGAAAGCGUUAAGUAUUCCACCUGGGGAGUACGCCGGCAACGGUGAAACUCAAAGGAAUUGACGGGGGCCCGCACAAGCGGAGGAACAUGUGGUUUAAUUCGAUGAUACGCGAGGAACCUUACCCGGGCUUAAAUUGCAGAUGAAUUACGGUGAAAGCCGUAAGCCGCAAGGCAUCUGUGAAGGUGCUGCAUGGUUGUCGUCAGCUCGUGCCGUGAGGUGUCGGCUUAAGUGCCAUAACGAGCGCAACCCUUGUUGUCAGUUACUAACAGGUUCCGCUGAGGACUCUGACAAGACUGCCAUCGUAAGAUGUGAGGAAGGUGGGGAUGACGUCAAAUCAGCACGGCCCUUACGUCCGGGGCUACACACGUGUUACAAUGGGGGGUACAGAGGGCCGCUACCACGCGAGUGGAUGCCAAUCCCAAAAACCUCUCUCAGUUCGGACUGGAGUCUGCAACCCGACUCCACGAAGCUGGAUUCGCUAGUAAUCGCGCAUCAGCCACGGCGCGGUGAAUACGUUCCCGGGCCUUGUACACACCGCCCGUCAAGCCAUGGGAGCCGGGGGUACCUGAAGUGCGUAACCGCGAGGAGCGCCCUAGGGUAAAACUGGUGACUGGGGCUAAGUCG